RNAcentral lists this ribosomal RNA (250 nucleotides) under uncultured bacterium. RNAcentral describes it as "partial 16S ribosomal RNA". It matches the Rfam family "Bacterial small subunit ribosomal RNA", at positions 524 to 773 of the family's 1533-position model. The record is from RNAcentral.
UACGAAGGGGGCGAGCGUUGUUCGGAAUUACUGGGCGUAAAGGGCGCGUAGGCGGUUUGGCGAGUCAGGCGUGAAAUUCCCGGGCUUAACCUGGGGGCGGCGCUUGAUACUGCCGGGCUUGAAUUCGGGAGAGGAUGGCGGAAUUCCCAGUGUAGAGGUGAAAUUCGUAGAUAUUGGGAAGAACACCGGUGGCGAAGGCGGCCAUCUGGCCCGGGAUUGACGCUGAGGCGCGAAAGCGUGGGGAGCAAAC